AUUGAACGCUGGCGGCAGGCCUAACACAUGCAAGUCGAACGGAAGCACGGUGCUUGCUUCUGGUUUCCGCGGCGGACGGGUGAGUGAUGCCUAGGAAUCUCCCUGGCUGUGGUUUGUGACGUCCUCACACGGGCGCGAAUACUGCAUUAGUCCAGAGGGAGCAGGGGGGUGAGCUUUGGACCUUCCGCUCUCAGAUGAUUCUAGGUCGGACUAGCUAGUUGGUGGGGUAAAGGGCUACCUAGGCGACGAUCCGCAGAUGGUCUGAGAGGAUGAUCAGCCGCACUGGAACUGAGACACGGUCCAGACUACUACGGGACGCAGCAGUGGGGAAUAUUGGACAAUGGGCGAAAGCCUGAUCCAGCCAUGCCGCGUGUGUGAAGAAGGCCUUCGGUUUGUAAAGCCCUUUUAGUGGGGAAGAAGAGCAGUAGGUUAAUACCUAGCUGUUUUGACGGUACCAACAGAAUAAGCACCGGCUAACUUCGUG
This 484-nucleotide ribosomal RNA is filed under the name uncultured bacterium. Its description in RNAcentral is "partial 16S ribosomal RNA". It matches the Rfam family "Bacterial small subunit ribosomal RNA", at positions 30 to 507 of the family's 1533-position model. The record is from RNAcentral.